CCCUGGCCCUGUGCCGGCCCCGCCUGGCCGGGCCCGGGCGGGGUCUGGGUCUGGCUGGGGAGGGUGAAGUCGGUGAACUCGAACUCGGAGCCCUGCGUGUCGGCGCCGAGCAGCUCGGCCUCCUCGGUGUCCAGGAAGGAUAAAGCCUGGCCUGAAUCAACAUGUUCCAGACCUGCAGCUGCUGGGCUGAAAAGAUGGAGGCUGGAAAACAUCCUUAUCCUGGGAAUAUUGUGCAGCAAAAGGAGGGGAAAAAACAAAUCCAGAGAACACAGGACUCACCACUUCUGCAGAGAGACUGAAUUCAUCUUGUUUUUAAGUAGAAUCAACUGUUCAGAGCAAAGAGCAACGGGGAGAAAGCUUGAAAUAACAUUUGAGGAUGAAAGUGGAACCAGAGGGGAGGGAAAAAAAAAAAAUACUACAAAGCCAGGUGGCUGCUUGCUGCAAACACUUUUUAUUUAUUAAUAAACACAACACACUCCAAACCUUUGGCUGCUUGACAGAAUCCUCAAAAGUCUUGGAAAGGGAUCAAAGUUCUGCUGCUCCGCCGGGUUCCUCUCGCUGUCCCUGCCACAGCUCGGGGAAUAAGGGUGUGGAAAAGCCCCUGGUGUGCCAGCAGCGGUGGGUUUGUCCCCUCACGGUGGCCUUGGGGACGCUUUGGUGCUGCUGUCUGAGGUGCUGAAGCUGCGGAGCCCCCAGCGCGGCCUGCGUGGAGCUGCAGGAGCGGCUGGGAAAGCAAACUCGGGAUUCGCUUUGUACACGUGGAUUUCGGGAUCGUUCUGCUCCAGCGCAACGCUUGGAAGCUCUGGGAGCCACUUGGAAGCUUUUAAGGAUGAAAUGGAUGCAGAGGCAGGCUGCAGAGCUCCCAGGCUGUGGGGUUUUUUUGGUGUUUUGUGUGAGUUUUCUCCCUCAAAGCCGGGCUGCUGCAGAGGAGAGGCUGUGACUCACUGGGCUUUGCCUGCUGUGCAGCCGGUGUGGAAUUUAACCAGGCAAAAACUGGCACGGCUCCCUGCCAACGGCGCUGAGCUCCCCGUUCCCCUGCAGAUCACAAGCAGGAGAGAAGAAAACGUUUAAUUGGGGAUAAAUAUUCCCAGAACAAGUCAUGGGGAUGUGACUCCCUGAAGGAAAAGGAGGAGAAGAUUUUGGCCAAGAUCCAGGGGUUUUGAAUGAAGAAAGUUCUCAGAAAUUAUGGUUCAGAAUCACCAUGUGAAGUUAAAACUCACUCAGAAAAAGCCAAGAGGUUCCUAAAAUCCAAGGAAAAACUGCUGGAAUUCCUGAAUUUAUUCAAGGAGAUCUUUGGGAGGAUCUGUUCCCUGUUAAAGCUGCCUCUGGAAGGAGCAGAGCUGUUCAAAAUCCUCAAUUUCCAAAGGGGCAUCGACAGCUCUUGGGAAAAAAAAUAUAAAAUUAAAAAAAAAAAAAGGAUUUCUCCAAAGCAGAUGUUGUUGGAGCUGAGCUUAAAAACAAAACGUGGAGCUCUUGAUGGGCUCCAAAAUGUCCCUGUUUGUUGGGAUUGCUGGCAGCUUUCCUGGGCAGAUGGAGGGGAUUGUGGAGUAAUGGAAAAUGCAGACUUCCCACAGGGCUGGGGUGUGUGUGGGGCUGCUGAUCCUCCCCAGAAAGAGAGGAAAAGGGGGGAAUUCCAGGUUAUCCCCUGGGAAUUUGUGCAGGUUUUGGUUUCUCCUCAGAUUUUGUGCUGAUGCAGGUUUUUGGUUUUGGGGCAAGGCAGAAGGUUCAGGGUUUGUGU
This is a long non-coding RNA of Pyrgilauda ruficollis (rufous-necked snowfinch), 1738 nucleotides long. RefSeq lists it as uncharacterized. The transcript has 4 exons. NCBI's taxonomy places the organism in Eukaryota, Metazoa, Chordata, Aves, Passeriformes, Passeridae. The record is from RefSeq and is a predicted model, not a curated record.